RNAcentral lists this ribosomal RNA (301 nucleotides) under uncultured bacterium. Its description in RNAcentral is "partial 16S ribosomal RNA". It matches the Rfam family "Bacterial small subunit ribosomal RNA", at positions 509 to 807 of the family's 1533-position model. The record is from RNAcentral.
CAGUAGCCACGGUAAUACGUAGGUGGCAAGCGUUGUCCGGAAUUAUUGGGCGUAAAGGGCUCGCAGGCGGUUUCUUAAGUCUGAUGUGAAAGCCCCCGGCUCAACCGGGGAGGGUCAUUGGAAACUGGGAAACUUGAGUGCAGAAGAGGAGAGUGGAAUUCCACGUGUAGCGGUAAAAUGCGUAGAGAUGUGGAGGAACACCAGUGGCGAAGGCGACUCUCUGGUCUGUAACUGACGCUGAGGAGCGAAAGCGUGGGGAGCGAACAGGAUUAGAUACCCGCGUAGUCCCUGUCUCUUAUAC